RNAcentral lists this ribosomal RNA (492 nucleotides) under uncultured bacterium. Its description in RNAcentral is "bacterial SSU rRNA". It matches the Rfam family "Bacterial small subunit ribosomal RNA", at positions 28 to 517 of the family's 1533-position model. The record is from RNAcentral.
GAUGAACGCUAGCGACAGGCUUAACACAUGCAAGUCGAGGGGCAGCGAGGGAGUGCUUGCACUUUUGUCGGCGACCGGCGCACGGGUGAGUAACACGCAUGCAACCUGCCCUUGUCAGGGGGAUAAGCGAGGGAAACCUCGUCUAAUACCGCAUAUAUGGUUUUGAGGCAUCUCUUAAUCAGGAAAGAAUUAUCGGACAAGGAUGGGCAUGCGGGACAUUAGGUAGUUGGGGGUGUAACGGACCACCAAGCCGACGAUGUCUAGGGGUUCUGAGAGGAAGGUCCCCCACACUGGUACUGAGACACGGACCAGACUCCUACGGGAGGCAGCAGUGAGGAAUAUUGGUCAAUGGGCGAGAGCCUGACCAGCCAAGUCGCGUGAGGGAAGACGGUACUAAGUAUUGUAAACCUCUUUGUCAGGGAACAAGAGACCACGUGUGGUAAGAUGAGUGUACCUGAAGAAAAGCAUCGGCUAACUCCGUGCCAGCAGCCG